Molecule: long non-coding RNA, 1466 nt
Organism: Hibiscus syriacus
Lineage: Eukaryota; Viridiplantae; Streptophyta; Magnoliopsida; Malvales; Malvaceae
Exons: 5
Source: RefSeq, a predicted model, not a curated record
UAGAGCUUCGGCUCUCUCUUUCUCCUCCUCUUUCGCAGAAGCCGAAAAAGCUCUCUGCUUUAUUAACGUUAUUUUUUUUUGCAUUUUUUUCCACUGAAAAUUUCUCUUCGUUGGGAUUGAAGACGGUGACGAAUUUUUAACGCAAACCAUAUUUUCGAACACGGAAGCAAUGAUGAUUGGUAGCUCGGAAUUGAGAACCGAAGCUGAAAUGGUGGAGCGUUCGGAUCUUGGAAACGGGUCGCUGGCAUCUUCUUCUUCUUCCAGUUUUGAACUGUCUAAGAAAAAAGAUUGAGUUUCAUCCUGCGAGGAAGCCCUUUAACGCGUUUAAAAGUUUGGACGGUGGGGAUUUUACAAUCGAGACACUAAACCCUGGGCCGGAUUCGAAGCGGGUAAACGGGAUGGGAUCUGAUAAAUUGAGCGUUACAGGAAGGAAGGUUGAUGGGACGGAUAUGUGCGAGAAUGGUUUGGAUCAAGUUCUUAGUUUGAAGAUAUCUUUUCGUAAAAUUGGUGCUGGCUUGGAGAAUCUUGGAAACACAUGUUUUCUUAAUUCAGCAUUGCAAUGUUUGACUUACACAGAGCCUUUAGUGGAUUAUCUACAAAGUGGCAAGCAUCAAAAUUCUUAAACAUGUUAGCCGCGCUCUACAAUCAACUGGGAGGAUAUUGGCACCAAAUGAUCUGGUCUCGAACUUGCGCUGCAUAUCUCAGAACUUCUGAAAUUCUCGACAGGAGGAUGCACAUGAAUACAUGGUAAACCUACUGGAAUCCAUGCACAAGUGUUGCUUACCUUCAGGAGUAUAAAGUGAAAUCCCUAGUUCUUAUGAGAAGAGUUUGGUGCACAAGAUCUUUGGUGGUCGCCUUCGUAGUCAGAUAUAUUCUUUUUCUUGCUGAAUGAUAUGAUCAAAUUGUUAAAUGCUUGCAGUGUUCUUACGGUUCCAACGCAUUUGACCCCUUCCUAGAUUUAAGGUUUGAAAUAGUUAAGGCAGACUCCUUGCUUAAAGCACUUAAAAACUUUACUGCUGCGGGGCUUUUAGAUGAAGGAGAGCGACAGGUUCAGUGCCAACUCUGCAAGCAAAAAGUUAAGGCACACCUCAUGUACUUACCAUCCAUCUAAAGAGAUUUCAUGCAUAGAAUUUUGGGCAAAAGAAUGAACGCAAAGUUGAAUUUGGUCCGACCUUAGACAUGAAGCCUUUUGUCGGUGGUUCCAAUGUGAGUAAGCUUCUGUUGCGUGUGAUUACUUUCCUCUGUUGAGUGUGUUUGUAGGUUAUCUAAGCCAUUCUUUGGGAGACACAAAAAGUAGUAUCGAAAAGAAUAAUGCAAUGCCAUACAAAAGUUUCUUUCUCAUAUGACCUUUAAGGGCCUUGAUCGUGGGAAGAAGUUUUCUGUUUAGUUUAUAUUUAUUCUGUUUGAUUUUUGAAUACUGCAUUCAAUAUGUACAUCAUUCUUCUGUGAGAAGAUUGUGAAUGUAA